CACCUCUAAACAAAAUCCACCAUGACCACAAAUAGGACUGUCACGAUAACAAAUUGCGCUGGACGAUAAAUUGUCCCAGAAAUUAUUGCAAUAAACGAUAAUAUUGUUGUUCUGAGACCAUUUUCAUCUACUAAAAUGAUAAUGGC
Etheostoma spectabile (orangethroat darter) is the source of this 146-nucleotide long non-coding RNA. RefSeq lists it as uncharacterized. The record is from RefSeq and is a predicted model, not a curated record. The transcript is spliced from 3 exons. Lineage: Eukaryota; Metazoa; Chordata; Actinopteri; Perciformes; Percidae.